UCCGUAGGCGGUGUGGCUAAGUCGGUAGUGAAAUCUCUCGGCUUAACUGAGAGGCUGCUGCCGAAACUGCCAUGCUCGAGUGCGAGAGAGGCGAGUGGAAUUGCGGGUGUAGCGGUGAAAUGCGUAGAUAUCCGCAGGAACAUCCGAGGCGAAAGCGGCUCGCUGGAUCGCAACUGACGCUGAGGGACGAAAGCUAGGGGAGCAAACAGGAUUAGAUACCCUGGUAGUCCUAGCCCUAAACCAUCAGGACUUGGGGUUUGCCCUGUACGGGGCAAGUCCCGGAGCUAACGCGUUAAGUCCUGCGCCUGGGGAGUACGGUCGCAAGGCUGAA
This 331-nucleotide ribosomal RNA is filed under the name uncultured bacterium. RNAcentral's name for it is "bacterial SSU rRNA". It matches the Rfam family "Bacterial small subunit ribosomal RNA", at positions 568 to 898 of the family's 1533-position model. The record is from RNAcentral.